This 1383-nucleotide ribosomal RNA is filed under the name Triticum aestivum (bread wheat). RNAcentral describes it as "partial small subunit ribosomal RNA". The record is from RNAcentral. Lineage: Eukaryota; Viridiplantae; Streptophyta; Magnoliopsida; Poales; Poaceae.
AUGGAUGCGGCGGGUCCUAGCCCGAAGCGGAGGAGAUCGGCCUCGCCCGGUGUGGAAGAAGACGGAGGAUGCGCCGACUACAUCAGCGCCCUCCCCGACGCCGUGCUCGGCGACAUCAUCUCCCUCCUCCCCACCAAGGAAGGCGCCCGCACCCGAAUCCUCGCGUCCCGGUGGCGCGACCUCUGGCUCUCCGCCCCUCUUAAUCUCGACUGCCGUGAGCUCACCGCCGGCAGGAAUGAAGUCCGCUCCGACGUCGUCUCCCGCAUCCUUUCCUCCCACCGGGGACCCGGCCGUCGUCUCUACAUCAACACCUGCAUCCACUGGAUACUAGCAGACACCGUGGAAGCUUGCCUCCGAUCCGCCGCUCUGGACAACCUUGAGGAGCUUGAUUUCAUCAACCAUCUGUUAGAGAAACCACAGCGGGCAUUGAUCCUCCGCUUCUCGCCCACCCUCCGUGUUGCCAACAUUGGUGGAUGCAACCUCUCGGACGUCAACUUCCAUGAGCUCCACCUUCACUUCCCCUUGCUUAAGCAGCUCGGUCUUGUAAAUGUCAUGAUCUCGGAGAGCUCGCUGCAUAGCCUGAUUGCCGGGUGCCCAGCUCUCGAGUGCUUGCUGAUUGACAUGUGCUCUGGCUUCCGCCGCAUCCGAAUAAACUCCCCAACUAUGAGAUGCAUGGCUGUGAGAGAAUAUGGGAUACCGAUAGAGUCACUGCUGCUUGAACAAAUCGUCAUUGAGAAAGCUCCUUGUCUUGUGAGGCUGCUCUUUGAGAGGGGCAGUAUUCUGCAGGUAACCGUACUCGCAGCUCCUAAACUGGAGACUUUAGGCUUCAUUAGUGAUAAGUGCAGGUCAGGUGAAUUGUCCAGACUCAUGAUUGGCUCCACUGUUCUUCAGGGAUUGUGUGUUGAUAACCUGAUAACAGUGGUACAAACUGUCAAGAUUUUGGCUCCUGAUAUGCACAAUCUUAGUUUGGAUACUGUUAUUGAAUUGAUGAGAUGCUUUCCGUGCUUGGAGAAGUUGUACAUUCAGUCAUUUCAAUCAAGACCGGGGAAUUUGUGGCGUCGUAAACACCGGAAUCUGUUAAAAUGUUUUGACAUGAGUCUGAAGACGUUAGUGUUACAACUAUAUCGGGGGAAGAAGUCGCAAAUUAACUUUCUUACAUUCUUUGUAUUGAAUGCGAAAGUGCUAGAGUCAGUGACACUUGGCAUCACAACCAGGAAUAACAAUGAGAAGUUCUUGGCAAAACAACGCAGGAAGCUUGAGCUAGAGAACAGGGUUUCCAGAGAUGCUCAGUUUCAUUUUAGAACUGGUAGUUGUGUCCGCAGUUCUUAUGAUAUCAAGCAUAUCGGUGAUUUGGAUUUAACUGAUCCAUUUGCACAUAUGUAG